AAACCAAUAAUGCAAGAUCAACAGUAAAAUAGCAUAUUUAUAAUGGUGAUCAUGUACAUGGAUUCUUACCUUUACCGAUGACUGAUCAAGCACAGAAAUCAAUGUUCUUCUUUGAUUUAUGAAUUUCACAAACAAGAUGUUCCACUCGACAUCUUAUGCAGACAAUCAUAUCUCUUCAUGAUCCUGAUCAAAUAUAAAAAUCAUAUAUGGAGAAAAUUACCGAUAAUCGAUCCUAAUAACACAAAUCGAGAAUCUCUCUUAGGAUUAAUCAAAAUUAAGAUUUAUCUAAGUAUCU
This 295-nucleotide long non-coding RNA is filed under the name Elaeis guineensis (African oil palm). RNAcentral describes it as "long non-coding RNA (EGUI_LNC006357)". Lineage: Eukaryota; Viridiplantae; Streptophyta; Magnoliopsida; Arecales; Arecaceae. The record is from RNAcentral.